UGGGGGGACCACCCUCCAAGCCUAAGUACUCCUCAGCGACCGAUAGUGAACCAGUACCGUGAGGGAAAGGUGAAAAGAACCCCGACGAGGGGAGUGAAACAGUUCCUGAAACCGGAUGCUUACAAACAGUGGGAGCCCAAGGUUCGACCUGGGUGACCGCGUACCUUUUGUAUAAUGGGUCAGCGACUUACAGUAGCGAGCAAGCUUAAGCCGAUAGGCGUAGGCGCAGCGAAAGCGAGUCUGAACAGGGCGUUCAGUUCGCUGC
This 265-nucleotide ribosomal RNA is filed under the name Candidatus Regiella insecticola. Its description in RNAcentral is "partial 23S ribosomal RNA". It matches the Rfam family "Bacterial large subunit ribosomal RNA", at positions 445 to 707 of the family's 2925-position model. The record is from RNAcentral. Lineage: Bacteria; Pseudomonadati; Pseudomonadota; Gammaproteobacteria; Enterobacterales; Enterobacteriaceae.